UACGGAAGGCAGCAGUGGGGAAUAUUGCACAAUGGGCGCAAGCCUGAUGCAGCCAUGCCGCGUGUAUGAAGAAGGCCUUCGGGUUGUAAAGUACUUUCAGCGGGGAGGAAGGCGGUGGAGUUAAUAGCUUCACCGAUUGACGUUACCCGCAGAAGAAGCACCGGCUAACUCCGUGCCAGCAGCCGCGGUAAUACGGAGGGUGCAAGCGUUAAUCGGAAUUACUGGGCGUAAAGCGCACGCAGGCGGUCUGUCAAGUCGGAUGUGAAAUCCCCGGGCUUAACCUGGGAACUGCAUUCGAAACUGGCAGGCUAGAGUCUUGUAGAGGGGGUAGAAUUCCAGGUGUAGCGGUGAAAUGCGUAGAGAUCUGGAGGAAUACCGGUGGCGAAGGCGGCCCCUGGGACAAAGACUGACGCUCAGGGUGCGAAAGCGUGGGGAGCAAACAGGAUUAGGAUACC
RNAcentral lists this ribosomal RNA (455 nucleotides) under uncultured bacterium. Its description in RNAcentral is "bacterial SSU rRNA". It matches the Rfam family "Bacterial small subunit ribosomal RNA", at positions 340 to 786 of the family's 1533-position model. The record is from RNAcentral.